CCGGAGCCAUUGUGGCUCCGGCCGGUUGCGCGGGCCCUCGGACCCUCAGGGUAGGCGAGGGUUCGAGGGCACGAGUUCGAGGCCAACCUGGUCCACAUGGGUUGAAAAAAAAAUUUUUUU
Molecule: non-coding RNA, 120 nt
Filed under: Homo sapiens (human)
Lineage: Eukaryota; Metazoa; Chordata; Mammalia; Primates; Hominidae
Description: small NF90 (ILF3) associated RNA B1 (SNAR-B1, SNAR-B2)
Rfam family: snaR-A sRNA
About the family: Small NF90/ILF3-associated RNAs (snaR) are ~120 nucleotides long and are known to interact with NF90 double-stranded RNA-binding motifs. snaR-A is abundant in human testis and has been shown to associate with ribosomes in HeLa cells. snaR-A is present in human and gorilla but not in chimpanzee.
Source: RNAcentral